GCCUCCGUAGCUCAAAGGACAGAGCACCUGGCUUCGGACCAGGGGGUUGUGGGUUCGAGUCCUGCCGGGGGCGCCA
RNAcentral lists this transfer RNA (76 nucleotides) under Dehalococcoidia bacterium. RNAcentral's name for it is "tRNA-Arg". It matches the Rfam family "tRNA". From Rfam's summary of the family: Transfer RNA (tRNA) molecules are approximately 80 nucleotides in length. Their secondary structure includes four short double-helical elements and three loops (D, anti-codon, and T loops). Further hydrogen bonds mediate the characteristic L-shaped molecular structure. tRNAs have two regions of fundamental functional importance: the anti-codon, which is responsible for specific mRNA codon recognition, and the 3' end, to which the tRNAs corresponding amino acid is attached (by aminoacyl-tRNA synthetases). tRNAs cope with the degeneracy of the genetic code in two manners: having more than one tRNA (with a specific anti-codon) for a particular amino acid; and 'wobble' base-pairing, i.e. permitting non-standard base-pairing at the 3rd anti-codon position. Lineage: Bacteria; Bacillati; Chloroflexota; Dehalococcoidia. The record is from RNAcentral.